UCCGGUUUGGCACCGGCAGUCUCACUAGAGUGCCCGGCAUAACCCGCUGGUAACUAGUGACAAGGGUUGCGCUCGUUGCGGGACUUAACCCAACAUCUCACGACACGAGCUGACGACAGCCAUGCAGCACCUGUGAACGAGCUCCGAAGAGCCCCGCAGGUUUCCCCGCGAGUUCCCGUCCAUGUCAAGCCUAGGUAAGGUUCUUCGCGUUGCGUCGAAUUAAACCACAUGCUCCACCGCUUGUGCGGGCCCCCGUCAAUUCCUUUGAGUUUCAACCUUGCGGUCGUACUCCCCAGGCGGGGUACUUCCUGCGUUAGCGCCGGCACCCAGAGGGUCGCUCCCCCAGGCACCUAGUACCCAUCGUUUACGGCGUGGACUAC
RNAcentral lists this unclassified non-coding RNA (380 nucleotides) under uncultured Gemmatimonadaceae bacterium. RNAcentral describes it as "contains 16S-23S intergenic spacer region". Lineage: Bacteria; Pseudomonadati; Gemmatimonadota; Gemmatimonadia; Gemmatimonadales; Gemmatimonadaceae. The record is from RNAcentral.